RNAcentral lists this unclassified non-coding RNA (268 nucleotides) under Hevea brasiliensis (rubber tree). Lineage: Eukaryota; Viridiplantae; Streptophyta; Magnoliopsida; Malpighiales; Euphorbiaceae. The record is from RNAcentral.
UUUGUAUUGAAUUUUAGUUCUUUUCCUGAUAAAGGUGUGCAAAUAGAAUAUUUCUAAUUUUAAUCAGAUGGGGUCACAGGCAGAAAAUGGGACACUUUCUGGAGAGAUGGAAAAGAUUAAAAACUCUCAAAGAUUGUUUGAAUUAGUAAAAUUUGCAAUAUAGAUAAGGCAUUAGUUCCUAUCUGUUGAUAUCUUUGUCAGCUUAAUUAUUUUUCUGUGGCAUUCUUUCUAGUUGUGGGGUUUUUCCUAUAAAUCACACAAAGACGCA